UAUUUUAUGCGUCUCUUAUUGUCUUUAUAUUAAACUCUUUAAAUUCUAACAGGAAAGUGAACCUCGUUUUUCAGAAGAAGGAAAUGCACUUUAAAUCUGAAGAAGCCAAGAGGUAAAUCCACCUAUCCUUCAUCUCAGUCUUUCAUGCUAAUCAACACAUAUAGUAUGCAAUGAGAAAUAUAAAAAAGCAAAGCUUCAAAAAUAUUCCAACUUUUUUCAGUAACUAACUCACUAUCUGUAUGAUGUUUGCUAAAGAAAGGGUUUUCCUCUAGUGCCUGUUCAGCCUAGAAGAAGUAUGCUCCUUUGGGGCACAUAAAAAUCCUUUUACUGCUCUAAAUUCUUGUGCCUGUGUUUUUAAAUAUACACUUGAUUUAUUGAAAGUAAGACUAGCAGCUACAAGGUUUCUGCAUUUCUUUAUAUUCAGCAUCUCUGAGAGUCUCAGUUCCUUAUCUGUCCAAUUGUUCUGAAGCCUCAGAUAUACAAGACCAAGUCUGAAUGCAGACAUCCUCAUCUUUGCUUGUUUGCUGUUCCUGAAUGAAAGUCACACUUCAGUUGCCAUCUCCUCCUUUCACAAGAAAACCUGAUUAGGUGCUUAAAAAAUUCUUAUUCAAAAAGGGGAAAAAAACAGCACUAAAAUCUUUGACAAAGAGCCAUUUUCACGGUUUGAAAUACUGGAAAAUGGUCCCAAGGCAACAGUGCUGUUCAUGGUGAUUUCAUUGAUUAUUCAGUGGAAUUAAUAAAAAUGAAAGGAUUUUAUCCUGCUCCUUUCCUACUAGUAGUAUUUGGCUACAUUUUUUGCAAACUGUUAACAUGUCCUCCUUUGUAGAAAAGUGACUUAAAAAGAAAAAAAAGAAAAAAAAGAAAAAUAUAUAGAUUAUAUGAAAUUUCUUUAGAUAAACAAUAGUAUAAAAAUUUAAUGGCUUCAAGGACAUUUUGCUGUAAGAUGGUAGUGUGCAAAGAGGUUGUCUUGGUUUGUAAACAUUGUUGGUAAGUUCACAGUUAUAAUACCAUGAUCAACCACAAGGUCUUCUCCAGACAAGAAUGCAGACCUAACACUGGCUAUUCAAGGAAGGGUCACAUGAAAAUAUCUGUGUAAAUCUGAGGAAUACAGACAGUCCCUGCCUUUACCUGUGCUUCAGGAGUGAUCACAGUGAUGCGCACUGAAUUAUGCCACUUGCUUUAUGGAGUUGUUUCCUCUAUUAAUUUUCCCAGUGGAUACUAUUUAAUAGCAUUUUCCAAGUCUUUGGUAAAUGCUUGUCCAGUUAAACAUAUUGUACUUUAAUUGCAAGACAGUAGUAUUUUCUCUGAAUUUACUCUCUUUUCACUUGGUUUAGGAAUUCUAAUUAAGCAUGUAGUUGGCCAAUCCAGUACUCAGCCCAGGGCAAACCCUUCCAAAAACUACAAUAUUUUCUUAGACAUAAACAGAUAGAUGGCUGAACUUGUGCUUCUGAACACCUUCACAAAAUGCUAUGUGAGCUGAUUCAUCACUGAAAUACUAAUGUUUGAAGACAAAUAUUGGUAGUUCAGUGUCCAAAAAGUUCAAUUCUCCCAGCUAUAAAAUGUCUUCCGAAUACCAUAUAAAAGACCUGCCACAGCCGAAUAUUGUUUCAAGCAACAUUCAUUUAAAAAACUUUGAUGUUAGACAAAUCCAUUUAAAAAAACCCAAUCAGAAUCACUCACAGAGAAAUAUAUAAGAAGUGCCCUCUACAAAAGACUAGAAAAGGAGAUACUAGCAUUUUAUAACCUUUAUACUGAGUGGAAAACCUCACUGCCUAACAAAGUUUUAUUCUUAUGAGACCAAUCACAGCCUCUCCUGGUUGUACACUGCAACUGGUGAUUCCUUAUUUUAAGUACUGGCCUAAGCAAAAUAAAAACCCCAGGACAUUUCUUUUUGGCCAGGUAAAAAAGUUCAUUGGUUUAAAAUUUUUAUUCACACAUCAGGUAAAAGGUAAAAAUCCAUCCAGAGGUAUAUUUAAAAAAAAAUUAUGCCCUUCACCACUACCAGGGAAAGGCAGCAUCAGAAAUGUGAUGCAUCUGAAUAUUUCUAUCAACCCCUCGCUUGACUGCUAAGAGAUUCAGGUGAGCCUACAUUUGGUGAAAGGAAGAUUUGUUCCUGUAAUUAAAGCACUGGAGUGGAAGAGCUGUCUCUACCACAGAAUCAGUGUAUAGCUUUAGGCAAUACUGCUUUUAGUCCCUCUUGUAAAACUAGGGUGGCAUUUCUGUUAUCCAGUCUUUUUAAUCACCAACUUUUAAUACAAAUUUUUUUGUUGCUUAAUAUAUAAAGUGUGUUUCUAAAGUGCCACUACUCCACAGGUUCAUAAAAUUUAACGGUAGCUUCUCUGAAAGGCCCAAAUUCCAUUCUGACAACAGAGGCAAAGGGAGGGCUUCCUUUUAUAUGCAGUCAUUACAGUUAAUUACCAUAUAGCCUGCACUGCUAAAGAACCAUUUCCACUGAAUAGCAAUUCUACCAGGAGAAAAAUACAUCUUUGUGCUAAUGAUGCCACCUGCUUAAGUAUUAAACCUCAAGUACCAGCUUCUGUUCCACAAAUCUACCAGCGCACAGAGACCUUCCUUGGGGGUACAGCACCGGGUGUGUGAUGUGACAGAUUUUGUCUGACUGGAGGGCAAACAGGACAUGCCUGUAGGGUAAAUUUUGGUCAAGUGCAUUUCCAUUUCAUUAAAGAUACAUGCUGCACUGAUCCAAAUUGUUUCAAUGCUCUGGAAUCUAUCUCUAUGAUAUUUUCAUAAAUUGAAACAUUUCAGCUUGCUGGUAAACUCCGAAUUAAAAGGUCAGAAUAUUAAGGAAUUUCAUGAUCUGGAAAUAACAGGUUUUGACAUGCUGUUCUAACAAAGCUACAAUUCUCUUCUUCCACCAUGAUGCAUAUAAUUCCAUUCUGUCCUAUAUCCCAGAACUGGAGGUAAACAAAAACACAUUAGAAUGAUACUUUCAGAGAGCAGGAUGCUUUCUGCAGCAUUAACAUCAAGCUUUUAUACAGCUCAGCCUUCUGAACCAUGCAUUUUUUUCUGGACAUUUGGUGUGGGGUUUUUUUUUUAAAUCUUGUUGAUCAUGAAAAGCUGUCUUCUCCUUUCCUCUUUUAUCACAAAGCAAGAUUCCUCAGGGUCUGAGAAAUGAGGUUCUCAGUUCUCUAAUUACAGCUGAGCGGAAUACAGCUCAGUUGCUUCAUAGAUUUUUAAGCAUUUCUGAUUUUGUUCUCAUAAUUUAAUAACAUGGGCAUCUAUGAAAAGAAUAAUAAUGGAAAAAAAUAAAAUAGAGCAUUCAAAUCUUAGCAAGAUGCAAUUCAACUGAAAUACGCCAUAACUUUGGAAAACUGCACAUCAUUCUAUAUUUAUCAAUGCAAAAAUACUUGAAAUUCAUUUUAUGUGUAAUCAGCUUCACUUUCCAUUCUUGUUGCAUCCAUUAUAUACUUUUGCAUAAUUUAAUAUACAAAGAUCACAUUAGGGGAAAAAAAGCCCCACGAACAAAACCAAAACACUUUGGAACUCUCACCUAACAAUAAAAAGAAUUAGAUAUCUGUAGGAAAGUAUAAAGACAAGGUUCAUUUACUCUGUCACAGAUAUGAAGUUUCCAUCAUAUGUCUUUUAUCUGCCUUCCAGUCUGCCAGAUCUUUCAGGAAUUUAACACAUGACUUUCUUGAGUAAAAAGAAGCAGUGGAGACAAGCACAUGCUUUAGUACUAAGAGUGUUGUUAUAUUUUUUAUAUUCAGAUUGUGUUUCAUCUGAUAUAUAAUAGGCUGAAGACAUUAACUACAAAGGCAGAAUUUCUAGUGUACCUGGAUCAAAAACUUCAAGCAACACAAAAUAUUUAGUUGUUAAGUUUGACUGAAAAUACACAUUUUCUUUUUCAUUAACAUACAAAAAAAUUCACUAUCAAAUAAAUUCAUUCAAUAUCAGUUGACAAAAGGCAUUGAAUAACUUAUUUGCCUGUCCAUAUGCAGUAGAGAUAAAGGAAAGAUUUAGUUAUUCAUCUGCUAUUCCUAAUCUCAAUUAUACAAUUGAGAAAUUCUGGUCAGAAGAACCCAUAGGACCUCAGACCAAAGUUCCCCCCUGCCAGCAUAGUCUCCAGCACUGGGCAAGGGCAGAUGGUGAUCAGCAGCCAAAUGCUGACACUGCCCUUGAAUACACUUACAUUUAUUUGCCAGUGAUCUCUAGCCCAGGGAUACUGUAUGCUAUAAAUAGUGUCUUUGUGUUCAAUAGCUCUGGCUACAGUUUUCUUCUUUGUGUAGGAGCCUCUUUAUGGAUGUGGAUAAUUGUGUUAGUCUGGUGGAGCCAUACACAUCGGUAGACUGAAAUACCAAAGACAGAUCAUGUCUCCAGUGUAAGGAUACUGGGAAGUUAAAGAGUUCUCUGCUUCCACCUGUUGGUAAAAAUGACCCCAAAACUCAGCCAUGAAGCUAGUCUGCCUGCAUGCUCUUCUACACAAAUGCUUAGGAAGCAAAAAUCUUCAUAAUUUGCUGUGACACAGUUGCCGAAGAUUUUUACAUGCUUAGUCCCUUCUGGUGGAAGCUCCCAGAAAACAGAAAGGCUGUCCACAGCAAAAGAGCUGUGUUAGCCCUGGUGAUGGCCCUCAGUGGCAAUAGCUGCAUUAGCUUGUGGAGCCUUGUGACGAGAAUGAGCACUGCUUCAGCCACAGGUAUGAAGCUAUGAGAAAAGCUGAGUAGACACUGCAUACUUACAUAAGGGUCUCUUCCAAGUCAGGGGCAACAAACUUUGCCAAAAUCAGUAUCAUGGAGGAAACUAACACAAGCCAUUGUUCAUGGUAAUGAGUCUCAAAAGUCCCUUUGAUUUUCAAAUUAUUUCCCAAAACUUUCAAGAUGCCAUUAAGAUGAACUGCAUUAAUUUAUUUAAAUAACAAAUACUGCCUUUUAUCUAAAGGGUCUUACUUGUUGCUUACUCUGCUCUCUUAUAUAAACCAUCCCAUCCUCAAAAUGCAAAAUGCCUACACUUCCUUCAGCAGUGAUUGCACACAUGAUCUCCAGGCCAGCCCAGACUGAGCACCACUUCAUGGUGUGCAACUCCCAUGUCACCUCUGAGAGGAUAUCAAGGGUUUCCUCUGCCUGUGUUUGCUGUCCCAAAUGUUUUUGUUCUGCAGAGCUGUCUAGUUUUUUUGAGUAUUAUCAUCUACAAGACCAAGUAUUCUCAAGCUUUCUCCCGGAAGGAGGAAAGAGUCAAGAGAAGGCCGCAUAAAGUAUGGUGCAUUGUUGAUCCAACAGUUUCUGUUUUCUCACACAUUGAAGCCAAUGCAUGUGUCCUCUAUUAAAACUGCUACAAGUCGCUGUCCUUUAAUUAUCUAAGACCUUAUGGCAGGCCAUAUCACCUCUCUCCCACCACAGAUGGCCGGUGCAGAUAGAAGAGGUAACCCAGGUAGGCAAGGUCCAGGGGGUAUCAUCUCCUAGCACCAAAAGGUCUCCUAGCUUAACAGAUGUGGGAAGAGAUAAACACACUCAGGUGACCAAAAGGCCUGUUUUUACACUAUAAAAGUAUUACAGCUUAUCACAGAGGCAGAAGUCUUUUAAACACUCCUUGGGAAUGUGCAAGGAGAUUUCUCUCCUUAAGUCUGGACGUGGGCUUUUGUGGUCACUUUCCUGGGAAUUGAGAGAGUGGAUUUUUCAAUGUGUACUCCAUCAAAGAACUGGAUGGCAAGAAACACUGGAUUCUAAGUUAUACUAUUUCUUAGCUAGCUGUAAAUUUAAUGGUACCUUUAACUCCACAUGUAUACUAGUAUCCCCUUUUGUCUUACCCCUGUGUAGUCAUAGUCUAAGUUUUAUGUCUGUUAGGUUUGUGUCUAUUAAUAAAUAACUCAUUUUAUAAUAGACCAAAUCAGCCAUUAUUAAAGAAUUUGCGAAUAAGAGUGGGUCUUGGGGUGCUGGACACCUCAAUAACACGACUGCCUGCUGCCAGAGGUCUGGGCAAAGACAAGAGCUAAUUUAAACCCACAUCAUCCAUUCAUAAUAGACCUUCAAAACACAAACACUCAUGAUGAAAUAGCCAGUUCAGUUAAAGGCAAAAAAUCCCAUUAAAACAGCAAGAGGUUUCAAAUCUCUGAGAUUUAAAAUGGAGACUACCCACUCAGCUGGACUGCUGGUUCUUACAGCUUGCAUUCUUUGUAUGUUUUCAGCGAACUGUUGAUGGUUCUUCUGCUAUCUGCAACUGACAGAGAUGCUUUUUGUUACAACUUCCAGGCUUGCUGUUUUCUUGGAAAAUGCUUUACCAACUGUGCCUCUGAAUCUUACCUCUCUGUUAAAACAUAUUUAGGCUGUUCUUACCUUUCAAUCUGUUCUCCAUUUUCUUCUCACUUCUUCAAGUUUUUCCACGUUAUUAAAAAUGCUCCUUCUGUAUUUUGACCUUGCAUAUUUCUCACACCACAUCUUUCAUUUUCUUUCAAGAGCUACUCACUUGUUUGGCUUUCAAUGUUCUUUGUCUCUGAACUCUUUUGUUUUCUUUUUUGUAAUCAUUAAUACUUCUAUACAAUUUAAAAUCAUUGUGUAAAAUGAAAUACAUUCUGAAGUACAAAGCUGACUAACCCCUUUCAGUGUUUUUUUAACCGUUACCAGGUUUUGACUUCUAGGACAAUAGCAAAAAGUUUCAGUGUUCCUCCAUCAAAUCAGGGACAAAAUCAGCAAUCAUUUUCUCAGCCUACACAAUUCAUAUAGAAAUUCCAAGCAAUUUGUCCACCUCAUGCUCCAUAGAUCAUUGAUAGCUUUCUGCUAAAAUAUCAUCAUGCAGUUUCGAAUGAAUUCCCAUACCAUUAUACAAAUAUUACAUAAUUUGAAUAAUUACUAAUAAAUGUAGGAGCAAAAAGUAACAAGAUUGCUGUAGCAGGAUACUAUUCAGCAUUCUGGAUAAGGGAGAGAAAUAUAAGAAAAACUCAUUUAGGGAAAUAUGAGGGUCAAUAUUAUUAUGUAAGUACUGUUUUUCUAUUUGUUGAGCACACACACACACACCUUGUUUCCGCUGCCUAGAACAUAAACUAUGUUUUCGUGACCUAUUCUUUUCCCAGUCCACUUUGGUCCUACUGCUAAUAGUUAACAUAUUUUCUAGCAGACAUCUGACUUUUGGCAUAAAAACUUUUCAUUGGUUUCUGGGAAGAUCAGGGAAGGGUCAUUAAACAGCCAGAAGAUAAAUGUGUACAGCCCUUUACCAGUUUUAGGCAUAUUGAAAUCCUACAAAUUACUGUAUCUUUCUAUCAUGACAUUUUAUUAUGUCUUGUUUUGUCAACCAAAUCCCAGAUGAAAUUAAAAAUGCUUUUAAAUUGUUAUGCUGCACAGGUAUUUUGUAUUGUUUUGCUAAGGCAAUCCCUGCCACAAAAACCUGUAUCUCAACAAUAUUUAAGCGUUUGUUUCUAAGGAAUCUCAGAUGACCACAACUUCAACAACUGACCUUUGUGUAAAAGUUCUGUGUAAUUUGUGCAAUAUGUAACAUGUAGUAUUUAAGUGGCCAUCAGAGAGCCUGUAGAUCUUCAAUCCAGACCUGACUUCCCCCUAAGCAAUCUGAUUUUAUAAAAAACACCACGAAAACAGGAAAGCUAAUUUUGUAGUGGAUAAAGUGGCAGGGUGGCCAGUGUCUUCCAGUUUUAUGACACAGGCUGCAUAACAGGAACAUGAAGGUUUUAUAUCUACCCAAGCUUCAACAUAUGUAAUUGACCAUUAAAGAGCUUUUCCAAGAGAUUUCCUGCUAACAGCAGGAGUUUUCUUUCUAUGCCAAAAAUGGCUUUCCUUUAAUGAAAGUUGCAUGAUGUAGUGCAGAGAAAGCAUGGAAACUAAUCAAAGUAGGGUACUUGGAAAGAUGUCAGAUGAAAAGACCUGGCAGCACCUUUGAGAGAGGAAGAGCUGUAAAUAGAUAUUCAGCUGUUCAACAGACAGUUCAAAUGGGAUGAAAAAGGAAGACAGCAGAGCUCCUCAUUCUGCUAGUUAAACCCAACUAUAUAGUUCCUUAUGUUCACAAUCUACUUGCCUAAGAAAGACAAUAGAAGGGUUUCAUGUACAAAAUGCUAACUUGCAAAAACAUGCUGGAACUACCCAUAUACAGAAUUAUUUAUUGAGAUAUUUAGCCAUACCAUGCUAGUGACAUGAAAAUAUACAUCAUGCUUCAGACUGUAGGCUUUUUUCCUUCCUUUCUCUGGAAAAUUUUCAGAACAACCUUGUAAUGCCAAAAAGAACUAUUAAAUCAUUGUGUAUAUCAAAACAUUUUAACCAGUUUUAUUUACUAAAGCUUAGCUGAAGAUAUUUCACACUGGAAUUGGAUAAGACUUUAUAUACGACCCUUGAAAAGCCACUAUUGGUAAACAGGAGGCAACUUUCUCUACUAAGAUGUAAAUCAAGCUGAUAAAGAUUUUAUCAAUUAAUAUACUACUUAAAUUGCAACCAGGCCUAGAGGAAACAACUGAACUGGACAUUGCAUAAAUUUAUACAAGAACAGGAUAUUUUUUUCCGAACACAAAAUUAAGUGGGGAAAAAACUGUAUUUCUGCUUGAGAAUUCAGACUAUUUUUUUUUCUGCUUUCUUAUAAGAAUUCAAUACAUUUAAAAUAUGCACAAUUCACAACCUUACUUGAAAGCUGUUCUGUAUAUCUUAGAGAAGUGAAUAUCUAAGCCUAUCUAAAUAAGUGUAUUUCAGGUCAAGCAGUAAAAGAUUCUCACACUGAAACUUCACCACUUCAGGCCUGUUUUUAUGUUCACCCAAGAUACAGCCAGUUUAUUUAGGGAAGAAUUAUUUAUCUGCCAGGUUGCAAAGCAAGUGAAAAAUAAAUUCACACACACUGAACUUUAGAUAAGCUAUGCUCUAAAGGUACUAUUGGUGUAGCUUGAAUAACAAAAAUGUGACAUUUAGUUGAGAACUAAUGGGACAAACACUAAAGAAAAAAAUCUACUCAUUUAUUUAAUAUUCAUCUGUAUUCCUCAUGGAUCAAUUUCAAUGUCUGAAACUACAAUAAUAGUGACAGCAGUGCUCAUUCAUUCUAGCAAGGAAAUGACCUCUGAGGACCUUGAAUUCUGUUUUAUGUCCCUGGAGUUUAAGAGCACUUAUGCCACUCUUAUUUAGGGUGUCUGCUGAAAACAAAAUGAGAUUUGACAGGUAGGACAAAUGUUAUAGUGUCUGCAUGACAUUUAGUUUGAUUAUGAAAUGAGUGUUGGAGAAUUAAGAAUCAGCAUCACAGCUCUGCAUAUUAGUGGAGAAGAGUACAGGACACUAAAAGUAUAAAGACCCUGCCACAAUGAGAAGACUCCAAUCCCUGCGUGCUGGUUUGGAGAAACAUUGAGCAUGGCAGACGCUGAUCAGUAAGACACAUUUAAGGUCUAAUAUAAUUAUGCCUCAGAUUUCAGUGCUCUCCAGUAGUAUCACAUAAAUGGGGAACAUCACAGUGACAAUUUAAGUUGCUAUGUGAGAGGACUUCACGUAUAAAGAAACAAUGGGAAAAGGGAAAAAAAUUGUGUUUUUUAACAUUGGUAGUGGGGCAUCUUAUCUGACUUAACAAAACAAUAGUCAAACUGCUGAGAUGGAACUACUGGACCAAUCUAAAAGUAUUUGUCUUCUUUACAAAAAUUAAAGAACUCAGAAAAUUUGUUGCCUUAUGAAUUCUGGUAAAUUUCAGUUUAUAUUUUACAUUAUUUGUCCUCAAAAUAAGAGAUUUAUACUAACCCAGAAAUAUCUUUGCUUAACUACUGCCUGAAGUACAUACAUAUUGUCAUUAAAAGCACAGAAUUCACAAGAUGGUUAGACACAGGGUUCCAAUUCAAACAAUUCUUUCUCCAUUCAGUAGACCUGAUGUGUUUGGGCUGUGGAAUCUACCACCCGGUGCUGGUGUCACACAGAGCUGGAAUGGCAAAAGCUUUCUAUAUCAUUAGCAAAAAUGUUAUAAUUUCACUGAUGACAACUUCAUACUAAAAAUCAGCUUUUCUGAUGCUCCUGUAUGAUAAAGCCUCAUAUCAACCAUGAUUUCUUAUGCCUAUCAAAUGCCCAGAGUCUAUUCUUGUGUAUACUUUCAUUUGACCAUAAGGCAGUAAAUGAGACCAGAAAUCACUCACAUUUGCAGGAGAACAUGAUGUUAUUAGGAAAAGAGAAGAAACAAAAUUGAGCCAUUAGACUCAGGAGUGAUGAAUGCUACCCUGCCAAACACCGUGCCAAUCUCCUUGCCAAUGCCAGAUGGUUUCCUUAGGAGGCUGUUCAAUAGUCUCAGAAACCUCUGAGAUUGCUGUCAAUCAGGCCAAAUUUUAAUUUGCAUUUUCAUCCUGCUAUUUUUAUGUAGAGCUUUAUGCUCAUAUACUCUCUGGAAGUUUUUUUAAAAAAUCCCUUCUGAACAUCUAACUCCAUGCAUCACAAAUCAUCUGGUUUCAGUAUUCAACCUGAUUCUAGACACUUUUCACGUUACAUUGCAUUAUUUAAGCAAGAGACACACUUAAAUCACACAUUCAGGUAAGGAGUUCAGCUAUUUUUAACACAGCAAAGUUAAACUACUUCUUCCAAUAGCACUGAGAAUCAGCAAGUCAGCCUGCAGAACUCUGAGUUACCUCUGGCAUCCCAGUGCUUUCAUAUUUAGGAAAUGGGCUGAGAAUAAGAUUGAUCACUGAUUUUGCAUUUUAGCAACUGUGUAAAAUUAUGCGUCUCACAUUUAUUUAAUGGACUGGAAAGUCUGCUGCACUUUAUCAAGACUGCUAACAAACCCUAGCUGUAUAUCAGGAAUCCAGAAUAUUUAAUAGCUGCAGAGUUUAAAAGUAAGUCACAGUUUUCUUUGAUAUGAUUUUUUAUCACCAAUUUUUUUGUCAAUGUGUACAUGAAAAAUCUGUCAUUUACCAUCUGUUAGUCACAUACUUUUUUUUCUUCCCAGAAGAGUUCUUUGUUGUAAGACUUUCUGUAUCUUCUUAAUUUUUUUGAGAAGACAUGAAGUCUUCUUGCCCUAAAUGUUACAGCAAGCAGAGUAGCAUGAAUAUCAUUCAGUGUAUUUUUAGAGGCACUCAGUGCAAAGGAAGGUGUUCUAAAGAACAUAAUCCAAAGAGGCAAAUUGAAGAACUAUUGGGUGGGGACCCAGUCUGUAAGAUAAAAAAGAAAUACAUUAGGAAUCAUAUGGCUGCAACAUAUACAACUAAAAAAAAUGGAACGAGAGCUCAUCUCUACACCCAAAAUUAGAAAAAGUUUAUCCCAAGUAUUGUGUCUUAGGCCUUUCCCCACUUCAGAUGCUCUGUCAAAGCAUUGAUUCAUCUUAUCAGUGUAAAUAUUAUCUGAACAUCUCUCUCCCAGUCAUUGCUUUUCUAUGAUCAGCAUGAAGCAGAACUGUAUCAGACUCAGGUAAGGCUGCCACAUCCCUACAUGCAUUUUCACACAUGCUGGUUAUUAAAUACUUCAUACUUCCACAAAAUCUGAAGGAAAAAAUAAAGUUUAACUUGAAAGUUCCAUUAUCCAAUACUUUGUUUGAAGGGGUAAAGUUUGAGAAACAGAGAUUUUUUUUCAUUGGGCAGGCAGAAAAUUUAUAAAAAUAAAACAGGUGGUUCCAUGAAAUUUCAUUUGACAUGAUACAGGUGAAGCAUGAGAGUGCACAGCAAAUACUUUAAGAGAUACCAUUUCUAUCUUUCAUUUUCUGGCACACAGUAAUCUGUCCUGACUUGCACAAUGUCCUUGCUUGCAUCCUUGUCCAUGUUACCUGCACAACACUUCCUUGACAGCAUACUUACCAGGAAUUCUUGUCAAUUCAAAAUGCACAUGUCCAUAAGACCUUCCUUUAUUGAAACCUAUAGCCAAGAAAAGUUGAUAUUAUUGAAAAUUUCAGAUUAGUAGCCCUUCUGUUGAUUAAUGGUUGCUUCUAUUGUACUCUUAUAAUAAAAUUAGAUAAAAUUUCUUAUGCUAUUACUUGUACAGGCAAAUACAAUAUCAUACUUUUCUUAGAAAAGGAUCAAUCAUUGUUCUUGUAAAUUACAUAAAGCAUCAGUGAGGGUGAUUGUGACUGCAAAUGUACACACACCACUUAUGUUGAAGUAACUGAAGCAUAAAACAAAUUGAACCAAUCCCAUAGAAGGCAGAAAGUUACCUCCUUUGUGAACAAACACCCCAUGAAAAAAAAUCAGAGUUUUGCCUUACUGCAGAGAAAAGGGUCAAGAAAGAAAUGAAUUUGUGAUAUUUUUAGCAUAGAACUGAAACAUAAAUCAUGAAGAAAACUUUACCAAGUUUUAGGAGUCUUUCCUCAUUUUUUAAUACAUAAUUUUCUAGAUAGUACAAAUAGCACUUUUUUUUUUGCACAAAGCAGAAAAGCUGAGAGAGAGCCGCUGAAAUUUUCAAAACACUGCAACUGUUUAGAUAAAUUCUGAUAUUUAUGAUUUGAACAGCUGUACCAGAGAAGUCACAGGAUGCACUAGCUAGGAGGUUCCUGCAAGCUUCCUUCAGGUGAGGCAGGCAGUAACAUCACUUUUAUGAAUAAUUCAUGUUGCAUAAUUGUUUUUCAGGUUUCUGUCAGAAAUACUAAUUACAUUGUUAUUAUAGUGCCAAAAGGGUAAUUAAAAAUUUAUUACUGUAACAGUCAAUUUUCUCCAAAGCAAUGGCUAAAGAUCAAGUCAAGUUCUUGGUUUCUUGUUGGUGCACUUAAACUGCAGAAAUGUAAACCAGAGAAUGUCAUGCAUCUAUAGCAAGUGUUUUAAAUAACCUGCGUGGAUCUUUGUUUUCUGUAGAACUGCUGUGCUUAGUCACUUGGUUAAACAAUUUUAACAUUGAAACCAAGGGAGGAAGGUAGCAUUUCAUUUGAACAGACAAUAACAGAUUCCAUGCUUUCAGAGGGAGGUGUAGCAUAUAAAAUCUCUGCCGAUACAGUUACACAAUCCUUUCUGAGCUUAUGAAAGUAUCACUCAGUCACUUGACUAGCUGUCAGAUGCAGUAAUCAGUUCCUUAAAAGUUUAUGAACAGUAAAUCAAAUCACUAAGAAUAUUCAAUGCUAAUUUGGCAAGUUUCCGUAUUCCUACCACUGGAAAAAAAGAGAAAAACAAUAAAGGAAGUGGGAUAGUGCCACACUCAGGUGCUGCACAAGAAUGCUUCGUGUUAUACAUUUGUUUGUUCUAGGGUUGAUAAGAGUGACCAAAAAAAUCAGAAAAGAUAGCAAUUCAGGAAGAUUGUUAGGAUCACAAUGGAGAGAACUUGGAAUAAGCUUCAAUAUUUGCAGUAAUUUGUAAACAAAUAACCUUUAAUUUACAAUUGUUUUUUAGUAGACCACAAUGAGUUUUUGUAAAAUUACCUCAAUAUUUAAUUUCAUAAAGCUAAACAUAAAUCUUGAUAUUAGGCAGGGGGGAGAAAUGAAAAA
Molecule: long non-coding RNA, 13290 nt
Organism: Corvus hawaiiensis (hawaiian crow)
Lineage: Eukaryota; Metazoa; Chordata; Aves; Passeriformes; Corvidae
Exons: 2
Source: RefSeq, a predicted model, not a curated record